This 253-nucleotide ribosomal RNA is filed under the name uncultured bacterium. Its description in RNAcentral is "partial 16S ribosomal RNA". It matches the Rfam family "Bacterial small subunit ribosomal RNA", at positions 524 to 776 of the family's 1533-position model. The record is from RNAcentral.
UACGGAGGGGGCUAGCGUUGUUCGGAAUUACUGGGCGAAAAGCGCACGUAGGCGGAUCGUUAAGUCGGGUGUGAAAUCCCAGGGCUCAACCCUGGAACUGCCUUCGAUACUGGCGAUCUGGAGGUCGAGAGAGGCGAGUGGAAUGCCGAGUGUAGAGGUGGAAUUCGUGGAUAUUAGGCGGAGCACCAGUGGCGAAGGCGGCUCGGUGGUCCGAUACUGACGCUCAGGUGCGACUGCGUGGGGAGCACACAGU